GGAUGUGAGGGUGAUCUGGCUGUGACAUCUGUCACCCCAUUGAUAGCCAGGGUUGAUUUGGCUGAUCUGGCCGGCGAGGUGGGUGUCCCCUUCCUCCCUCACUGCUCCAUGUGCAUCCCUCUGGAAGCUGUGGGCUUGGUUGAAGAGGAUGACCUUCCCCGAAUAGAAUAGGACCAGUCCUCUGUCAAGGGUAUACAAGUAGCUGUACUCCCCUGCUAGAACCUCCAAACAAGCUCUCAAAUGAAACAGGAUGCUUUGUUAGACAUACACUUAGUUUUAAGUUCAGUGCUCCUUGGGGGGAAAAAAUCUU
This 310-nucleotide small nuclear RNA is filed under the name Jaculus jaculus (lesser Egyptian jerboa). RNAcentral describes it as "7SK RNA (ENSJJAG00000006811.1)". It matches the Rfam family "7SK RNA". Rfam says of the family: 7SK was discovered as an abundant small nuclear RNA in the mid-70s but a possible function has only recently been suggested. Two independent studies have found that 7SK RNA binds the CDK9/cyclin T complex (known as elongation factor P-TEFb). The record is from RNAcentral. Lineage: Eukaryota; Metazoa; Chordata; Mammalia; Rodentia; Dipodidae.